This 266-nucleotide signal recognition particle RNA is filed under the name Bacillota bacterium. RNAcentral's name for it is "signal recognition particle sRNA large type". It matches the Rfam family "Bacterial large signal recognition particle RNA". Rfam says of the family: The signal recognition particle (SRP) is a universally conserved ribonucleoprotein involved in the co-translational targeting of proteins to membranes. Lineage: Bacteria; Bacillati; Bacillota. The record is from RNAcentral.
CCGUGCUAGAUGGGGAGGUAGCGGUGCCCUGUAACCCGCAACCCGCUAUAGCGGGAUUGAAUUCCGUUUCGCGGCGUCUUUUCGUGGGGUCUUGGCACGGACACGUGGCGUUGACGAUUGGGUCCUGCGCAAUAAGACUUUGUGAACCCCGCCAGGUCCGGAAGGAAGCAACGGUAAGCAAAUGUUCUUAUGUGCCGCGGGGUUACCUGGUUUGAGCUAACGAUCCGGGUACCGCCCGGGAGAAGCCGUCAAAAAUCGGUGCACGG